This 646-nucleotide ribosomal RNA is filed under the name uncultured prokaryote. Its description in RNAcentral is "bacterial SSU rRNA". It matches the Rfam family "Bacterial small subunit ribosomal RNA", at positions 28 to 692 of the family's 1533-position model. The record is from RNAcentral.
GAUGAACGCUGACAGAAUGCUUAACACAUGCAAGUCGAUUCAAUUUACCUUCGGGUAUUGAGGAUGGCGGACGGGUGAGUAACGCGUAAGGAACUUGCCUCUUGGUCUGGGACAACUGUUGGAAACGACAGCUAAUACCGGAUAUUAUGAGAUUCUCGCAUGGGAAACUUAUGAAAGCUAUAUGCGCCGAGAGAGAGCCUUGCGUUCCAUUAGCUAGUUGGUGGGGUAACGGCCCACCAAGGCGACGAUGGAUAGCCGGCCUGAGAGGGUGAACGGCCACAAGGGGACUGAGACACGGCCCUUACUCCUACGGGAGGCAGCAGUGGGGAAUAUUGGACAAUGGGCCACAAGCCUGAUCCAGCAAUUCUGUGUGCACGAUGAAGGUCUUCGGAUUGUAAAGUGCUUUCAGUUGGGAAGAAGAAAGUGACGGUACCAACAGAAGAAGCGACGGCUAAAUACGUGCCAGCAGCCGCGGUAAUACGUAUGUCGCAAGCGUUAUCCGGAUUUAUUGGGCGUAAAGCGCGUCUAGGCGGAAAAAUAAGUCUGAUGUUAAAAUGCGGGGCUCAACUCCGUAUUGCGUUGGAAACUGUUUUUCUAGAGUACUGGAGAAGUGGGCGGAACUACAAGUGUAGAGGUGAAAUUCNUA